Rhopalosiphum padi (bird cherry-oat aphid) is the source of this 2035-nucleotide long non-coding RNA. RefSeq lists it as uncharacterized. The record is from RefSeq and is a predicted model, not a curated record. The transcript is spliced from 5 exons. Lineage: Eukaryota; Metazoa; Arthropoda; Insecta; Hemiptera; Aphididae.
AUAAAACAAUAGCCAUAGUGCGCAGUGACAUCGGUAAACACACACACGUGGUGUUUUUCGGUUUCCUCGAGUGCGUAAUACGCCGCACGGGAAAACGGCAAGACGCAAAGGGUCCACCCCGUUAGGUACGACCGUUAACGUAAUAUUAUGAUAAACGUAAAUACGCUUAAUUCGUACACGUUUUUUUGUUGUUGUUGUUGUUGUUUUUUUGAAUUACACGCCCAUUGCGAAAAGGACAAUGUUCGUUUAAUAGCGCACGCGAACACGUGUACCAUAUACGUUGUAUUAUAUAUUAUUAUAAUACGCGUCUGGUGAUAUAUCGCACGCGCGACCUCCAAGACUAUCGGCUAAAUGAUUUGAAUUCGUCGACUAUAAUUAUAGAAAUAUUGUGCGAUUAAAUAGUACAAAGCAGGUAGAAAGGUUUUGUGUGUUUAAUUUACUGGUGAUUUUUAGAUUUCGAGCGAAACGAGAACAGCUGUGGUGUGCGAUUUUACAGCGAUGGGCGAUUUUUUUUUUUGUUUUAUAAUGAGCAAACACGUAGAAAAAGUGCUCAACAAAUAUAUUAGUAAACAUAACUGAAAAUCAUGAAAAUAUGACACUAUUGACUUUGAAGAUGUCGCUUAUAUAGAUUUCACAACAGCGUUUUUCGUGCAAAUGACUAAUGAUUGACUGCAUUUUUUUAAGCAAUUUCAACUGCCGAAUUAAGGUUAUUGCCGAGUAUCACAACUUUAUCCCGCGUCGUCAGAUAAGACGAUAUCACCUAUCAUCAGGUUCACACUGUUCUAUUUUGAGAUUUUAGCAAGCCCAAAAAGUGUCUUAUACCAUUUCCAUAGAGUGGAAAUUGAAACCAAACUGUAGUCGAAAAAAAUGUAAUAUUACUCAAUUAGCCGAUAUGGAAAGAAUGUGAAUUGGCUAACUACAAACAUCGUUUCCCGGUUGCGAUAACAUUCGAGUUAUUGUCUCGUUCAAUUUUAAAACGAUACUAAUACAACAUUAUAUCUCGUGCCAAGAUGAGUAAAACGAGAUAAACGCUCUAACAUAAUAUCAUAAAUUGCUGACCAAACACGUUUUUUUUUUUUUUAAAGUGGGUAAUUUUAUUUUCAACGCGGUUAUCAUUAUGCGUCUUAUAUUCAUGUAGUGAUUUAUAGAUUAUAUAAAUCACUAGCUGUAGGUUUGUCCCCUGACAGGAGUCAGUUGAUAUCAAGUUGUGGUAUUUUUUUUUUAAAAAAUAUUUUGUAACCCAUUCCCACCCUAUUACAGAUUUGCUGUCGUGUUACGCCGCUGGUGUGCACACGCUGCAGUACCAGUGUACCACGGCAUUUAUGAAUAUAAUAUAAUACACUCAAAAUGAAAAUUAGUAUGGUAUAAAGGCCAAGGUUAUAAUACGGCAAUGAAAAAUUCUAUCAUACAGCGUCUAAUGUGGGCUUCUCGACUGCUCUUCCGGUACUCUACUAUUAAACUUUACAACAAAUGGAAAAAAAAACUGAAAAAAAAAUCAAAUAUCAAAAUAGAUGCGAUAAAAAGCAAUUCGUGAAGUAUGUGGUAUAGCCCAGUUCUAAUAAAAAAUGAUGAAUUUACAAUGAACCGUCUACUACGAAUAGAACAUACAUUCCUAAAAAACAACUACCUUAUGGUAAUAAACGAACUAUACCUAUACGUGAACCAUUUGGAGUAAAUAACAUGGUGAAACACACCACCGAAUGCCGAAAAUAUACGAGGAUACAGAAAAGAAACAUUCCACAACAGGUCAGACAAGUCACCACCAGUACUGCUGUCUGGACUGGAUUUCCAUUCAAAUAUAAAUAAAAUUAAUUUUCUCAAAAUAAAAGUGUACAAUUCGAUUUAAUUCAACCAAAAUCUGUGCAACGUAUAUAAGUUUAAAUAAAUUGGUAUGUACGAAUUAUAUAAAAAAAACCCAAUCUUAUAGGAAUUGCAUUAUGUUUAUGUACCUAGCAAUAGCCCGAGGGACCGAUGUUUUUCUGAUCAAUAAUAAUAAAAAAAUUAAUUAUGAAUAAUACAAAAAAUCAUGUAUGUA